This 460-nucleotide ribosomal RNA is filed under the name uncultured bacterium. RNAcentral describes it as "partial 16S ribosomal RNA". It matches the Rfam family "Bacterial small subunit ribosomal RNA", at positions 338 to 795 of the family's 1533-position model. The record is from RNAcentral.
CCUACGGGGGGCAGCAGUGAGGAAUAUUGGUCAAUGGGCUUACGCCUGAACCAGCCAAGUCGCGUGAGGGAAGACUGCCCUAUGGGUUGUAAACCUCUUUUGUCAGGGAGCAACGCCGGCUACGUGUAGCCGGACUGAGAGUACCUGAAGAAAAAGCAUCGGCUAACUCCGUGCCAGCAGCCGCGGUAAUACGGGGGAUGCGAGCGUUAUCCGGAUUGAUUGGGUUUAAAGGGUGCGUAGGCGGAAUGCCAAGUCAGCGGUAAAAUCGCGGGGCUCAACCUCGCUCCGCCGUUGAAACUGGCGUUCUUGAGUGGGCGAGAAGUAUGCGGAAUGCGUGGUGUAGCGGUGAAAUGCAUAGAUAUCACGCAGAACUCCGAUUGCGAAGGCAGCAUACCGGCGCCCAACUGACGCUGAAGCACGAAAGCGUGGGUAUCGAACAGGAUUAGAUACCCGUGUAGUC